Molecule: ribosomal RNA, 427 nt
Filed under: Plestiodon japonicus
Lineage: Eukaryota; Metazoa; Chordata; Lepidosauria; Squamata; Scincidae
Description: partial 16S rRNA
Rfam family: Bacterial large subunit ribosomal RNA
Source: RNAcentral
UGUCUUCUAAAUAAAGACCAGUAUGAACGGCUAAAUGAGGACAAACCUGUCUCUUGCAACCAAUCAGUGAAACUGAUCUCCCGGUCCAAAAGCCGGAAUAACCCCAUAAGACGAGAAGACCCUGUGGAGCUUAAAACAAGCUACUAUGCACCACACAAGCUGCAACUAGUAAGUAGUUUUAAGUUGGGGCGACUUCGGACCAAAAAAACUUCCGAGCACAGAACCACCCACUCUUACCAAGACCAACAAGUCAAAGCCCAAAAACGACCCAGUAACACUGAUCAACGAACCAAGUUACCCCAGGGAUAACAGCGCCAUCUUCUUCAAGAGUUCAUAUCGACAAGAAGGUUUACGACCUCGAUGUUGGAUCAGGACACCCCAAUGGUGCAGCCGCUAUUAAAGGUUCGUUUGUUCAACGAUUAACAGU